Molecule: long non-coding RNA, 3292 nt
Organism: Triticum aestivum (bread wheat)
Lineage: Eukaryota; Viridiplantae; Streptophyta; Magnoliopsida; Poales; Poaceae
Exons: 2
Source: RefSeq, a predicted model, not a curated record
UUAUGGCCACCGCCCCACACCUCGCCCCACCACCAGACGCUCGAUGCCCAUGUGGCGCUGCUGUCGCACGCAGCGGCAAAGGGUUCCACGGCGGAGACAUGGAAGGAUGACGGGGGUGGGGCCAUUACCAUAGAUGAGCGCAGCCCCGAGCAGAUCCGAUUAGGAUCCUUCUCUCCAUCUCACUCUUUGUGCCUUCUCCCCUCUCUGCUCUCCCGUCUCUCUCAAUCUGCAGCAAGGCGUCGCGGGCUCGCGGCUGUGACGCCGGCGGCGUAAGGGCCUGCGGCGGCGGUAGAAACCACCACACCCUCUGCAUCCAAUUUCUCUUUCUAACGUCUCUGUGCAUCAGCAGGUUUUAGUAGACGAUCCAGAUUGAGAAGGUCACAUGAGUUUGCCAGCAGCACCCAUCUGUGUAUGCUCAAUUACCUAUCAGUAAAUAUAUACAUAUCAUUUGGUGGAAUAUGUAAGUAGACCUUCUGUGUAUGCUCGAUUACCUCUUGUAUUGAAUUUUCCGAAAUUUUGGAUCGAUCAACAUGUGAUCAGUGGUCAGAUGUAAAACUUAGCCUUACUAUCAGGUUGCAUGUAAGAGGUACAAUUACUUGAUUAUCAAUGCGUACUUUUCAGAAGCUUCACUAACAAGUGCAAAUAUGUAGUCUGGAACCAUCCCUGAAAAAUUAUUGGUAGCCCAGGUUUAGAAGCAUUUAAAUAUCUUUUCCAAUUGUUGUAAACUCACCAAAGCUCGGGAGCGGAACUCCCUUACCUGGAAGCAUCCUUGCCGAUGAAAGAACACUAUGUUGAAAUAUUUACCUACUAACUAUCAUAUUAAGAAAAAACGCCAUUGAUUAGUUCUUAGAUUCUGGAAGGGCCUAUUUGGAUUAUUUAAGAACAAUGCUUCAUACUAAGAAAUUAGGCCGUUCAUAAGUUAUUAUUUCCUGAAAGGAUUUAUUUGAUCGAUAUAAGAUAAAAAAAAUUGCAAGCACCCAAUACUUGUUUUUCCUAAAUCAUUGUACAGACUGCUAAUUCCAGAUUUGAAUAUCCUCCCAGCUGAGGAGCAAUCGUAUCACAAUGAUGCACAUGCAGAACAAGCCCGGUUGUCCAAGGUUCAAAUACUGUGUACUUAAUGAGUUGUAUUUUGUGAAUCCUUAUUACUGUGUUUCAUGAAUCUAGACAAUGAUAAUACUAAUCCAGACUUUGUCGGUAUGGAUGAUGUUGUAGCCGCAAUUGAGCCUCCACCUCCUAUGUUUUUUGAAGGGCUUGGGAAUGACACUAAUAAAGUGGAUGGGCAAGCUCAAACCAACGAGGUUACGAUGUGAUUAAUUUCUUAGAAGUUCAUAUAUGUUCUGCUUCGUGUCAUCUUUAGUGCUUCAAGGGCAAACGGCUAGAUUCAAUUUGGAGCGUCGCGGGAAGGAGCAGGCAGCAGCGCCAAUACACUGAGGGUGGAGCAGCAGAGUCACCUGAUCUACCAGUAUGUCUGAUUGAUGCUGCCCACUGCUCCAUCAGCUUGCAUCCAGCAUCUCUAAAUUAGCAUUAUGUCAGUCCCACCUUUGCAGGUUCUCGAUAUAUUUGCAAUGGAUUAAACAAUGGGCCUCUCUUGAUUCACACAUGUUCACAUUUCAAGCUAUUUGAUGGUAAAUCUUGAAUUUUAUUUUCUUAUAUUUUUUAGCGGAUUAACUAGAACUGAUUUGGUUUCUGAUUUGUUUGGGCGAGUGCAACAGCUUGCGAAGCUUUACCACUAAUCCACAGUCACUAUGUAACAAUUAAAAGGUGACUGAUAGCUCCAAUAGAUGCAUAUUUAAUAUUUAUUUCUGCACAUCAUUUAGACAGGUGGUUCCAUUUGAUACAUUUAGGAAGAGUACGGUCUUUUCCGACUUUAGUUAAUAUCUAUAUUGUUUCUUUGAUAUAAUAGGCAGGUCUGGAAACACAUGCUAAUAUAAGGCUUGAAUUGCACAUGUAUUGUCUUAUUAAUCAUGCACAUUUUGGAGCAUGAUUAUUUUCAAAUGGUUUGUCUAACAAUACUGAGGAGACCUGCAUGUCUGUCAACAUUCUUAAUAUGGAACCAUUAGAUGAUGGAUGACCAUUUUUUGCAAUAUCCGACUGACUAAUUGUACAAUUGAUAAGACAAGGGUUCGACUUACUUCCCUCUGCAAACAUCUUCUUUGCUCAAGUAAUUCAAGGUAUGUUUCAUUGCUCAUUUAGGAUGGCUGCUGAACCUCUUUGUGAACCAAGGAAGAAGUUCUCUAUACAAAAAUAACUUAGUUCUACAUUGAAAUUUUCACAUAUGGAUAAUUCAGUAACAAAAAAAUUUGAUUAAUCGAGUUGGGAGAUGUCACACAACACCAUUUGCUCAUAAUUGUUAUCUAUUUGAUCCUCGUGGCAGUCCUAUAUGUCAUGAAUAAUUGAGUCAUAUGUUGAUGCAUAUAUAGUUUGACUGUGCACUUGCACGUGUGCAACGUUCCAAAAGGAUAAUUCAUAACCUAGCAAUCUUAGAUAUCUAUGAACUUCAGUAUGUGCCAUCACGGUCUCAACAGGAUAUGGUACUCUGUUUUGAUUUUUUAUCAAAACCUAAUUAUCAAUUUAUAUAUGUGUGUACAAUGUUUAACCAUUGUAGCUGAUGAUCUUUAACGUGUUUCAUCAUCUGUAGGCUGUGCAAUGUGAGAUAAUCAUGUAUGGUGUUACCGAAUGGGCUGGAAAGUUUCUAAAUUAUGAGCUCUGCAUGAUUAAGCGGCGUCGGGACCUGUACUUCAUUUAUUGCAGAGCAAGAAAGGAACAUCAAAGAAGCUGUUAAAAUGGAUGGGAGAAUUUGCUAAAACAUGUUUACCUAUUUUUUUAAAGAUUAAGUGUAUUCUAGAAAGAAAAUAACUGUAUGUUUCAUCGAGUAACAAAUCAGGAACUGUGCAGGUGUGUGUUCAUCUUGAUGGGAGUUUGUCCGAGAUGCUGGGCGAGGGGAUUGUUUCCGCACUGCAUGUAUCCAAGUGUUUAGGGAUGCCUUUUGCGAACAAUUUUAGUUUUUUUUGAGCGAGCAAAUUGAUACUUUUUUUGUGAAUGUAUCCGAGUGGGUGAAAUACUCCCCAUUUGUCUUGAGUGGGUGAAAUACUCCCCAUUUGUCUCGAGAGGUCCUGGUGUGGAAGCUUAGCACUGGGUUUGUCAUUAUUGAGGCAAUAAUAGUUUGAAUAUGCACACUUUCAUUAUGUACUUGCAGUGCGUAAUGCAUCAUGUGUAGAAAAAGAUAGUUAUAUUUGUAUAGAGUAAAUUACAAGGUUUGAGGUAUUUGAAUAAAAAAUACUUUGUUGUUUCA